Molecule: transfer RNA, 59 nt
Filed under: Meroles squamulosus
Lineage: Eukaryota; Metazoa; Chordata; Lepidosauria; Squamata; Lacertidae
Description: tRNA-Cys
Source: RNAcentral
GCCCCGAAGCAUUCGCCGAAAUGCAAAUUCGGACAGGCACCCAAUUCGUGCCGGGGCUU